CCGGAUCCCGCCUCAGCGCCGCCAACCGCCGCCAUCUUGGAGGAGAGAAAAGCGCGAGCGGCCAGGCAGCCUCAGUCGAGCCCAGAGCGCAGACUCCGGCUCGCGGAGGGGACUCCCGCCCGCGAGGAGCGCCGAGCGCAUCGAAUGAAACCGGGAGCUGGCUGAGCUCAGGAACCAGUGUUCAUUGAGAGGUUGCUCUGUGCCAGGCUUGGGCUAGAAGCUUUACGAACGUUAUAUCAUUUAAUCCUCGCUGCAUCCCUGUGACUUAGGUUUUGUCACAGUUUACAGCUGUGUGACCUUGAGCAAGUUACUAGACAUCUCUGGGCCCUAAUGCCUCUCUUCUCAAAAUGGAAAUAAGGAGCGGGUGAGCAUCUGAAGACAAGGAGCCUGGUCCUUCUGUAAUCUACGCAGAGCGUCAUCACCCAUCUCACCAAGCUUAUUGUCGUCAAACAAAUGGUGGUCGAUUGGAGCGCUGGUC
This is a long non-coding RNA of Diceros bicornis minor, 478 nucleotides long. RefSeq lists it as uncharacterized. The record is from RefSeq and is a predicted model, not a curated record. Lineage: Eukaryota; Metazoa; Chordata; Mammalia; Perissodactyla; Rhinocerotidae. The transcript is spliced from 3 exons.